Molecule: ribosomal RNA, 485 nt
Filed under: uncultured bacterium
Lineage: Bacteria
Description: partial 16S ribosomal RNA
Rfam family: Bacterial small subunit ribosomal RNA
Source: RNAcentral
AGUGAACGCUGGCGGCGUGCUUAACACAUGCAAGUCGAACGAGAACGGAAUAUAGCUUGCUAUAUUUGUCAGCUAAGUGGCGCACGGGUGAGUAAUGUAUAGAUAACCUGCCCUUAAGAAAGGAAUAACAGUUGGAAACGACUGCUAAUGCCCUAUAUGCCUUUAAUACAUAAGUAUGCAAGGGAAACGCUUUAGUGCUUAAGGAUGGGUCUGUAUGGUAUCAGCUUGUUGGUGAGGUAAUGGCUCACCAAGGCUAUGACGCCUAACUGGUUUGAGAGGAUGCUCAGUCACACUGGAACUUAGACACGAUCCAGACUCCUGCGGAAGGCAGCAGUGGGGAAUAUUGCACAAUGGACGAAAGUCUGAUGCAGCAACGCCGCGUUGAGGAUGACACAUUUCGAUGCGUAAACUCCUUUUAUAUAGGAAGAUAAUGACGGUACUAUAUGAAUAAGCACCGGCUAACUCCGUGCCAGCCGCCGCCGUAA